RNAcentral lists this ribosomal RNA (935 nucleotides) under archaeon HR06. RNAcentral describes it as "bacterial SSU rRNA". It matches the Rfam family "Archaeal small subunit ribosomal RNA", at positions 8 to 922 of the family's 1478-position model. The record is from RNAcentral.
UUGAUCCUGCCGGACCUGACUGCUAUCAGGGUGGGACUAAGCCAUGCGAGUCGAACGUCCCCAGCUGCGGGGGCGUGGCGGACGGCUCAGUAACACGUAGUCAACCUGUCCUAGGGAUGUGGAUAACCCCGGGAAACUGGGAUUAAUCCGCAAUAGGUCAAGACUUCUGGAAGGGGUCUUGACCGAAAGGGGUAGAUCAGCAUGCUUGAUCUACCCGCCCUAGGGUGGGACUGCGGCCGAUCAGGUAGUUGGUGGUGUAAUGGACCACCAAGCCUAUAACCGGUACGGGCUCUGAGAGGAGGAGCCCGGAGAUGGGCACUGAGAUAAGGGCCCAGGCCCUAUGGGGCGCAGCAGGCGCGAAACCUUCGCAAUGCGCGAAAGCGUGACGAGGCUACCCUGAGUGCCAUCCGCUGAGGAUGGCUUUUCCCAGGUGUAAAAAGCCUGGGGAAUAAGGGGAGGGCAAGUCUGGUGUCAGCCGCCGCGGUAAUACCAGCUCCCCGAGUGGUCAGGACGAUUAUUUGGCCUAAAGCAUCCGUAGCCGGCCUAGUAGGUCCUCUGUUAAAUCCACUGACCCAAUCAGUGGGCUGCAGAGGAUACCGCUAGGCUAGGGGGCGGGAGAGGCCGACGGUACUCCGUGGGUAGGGGUAAAAUCCUAUAAUCCACGGAAGACCACCAGUGGCGAAGGCGGUCGGCCAGAACGCGCCCGACGGUGAGGGAUGAAAGCUGGGGGAGCGAACCGGAUUAGAUACCCGGGUAGUCCCAGCUGUAAACGAUGCAGGCUAGGUGCUGGAAUGGCUACGGGCUAUUCCAGUGCCGCAGGGAAGCCGUUAAGCCUGCCGCCUGGGGAGUACGGCCGCAAGGCUGAAACUUAAAGGAAUUGGCGGGGGAGCACCACAAGGGGUGAAGCCUGCGGUUUAAUUGGAGUCAACGCCGGG